Molecule: ribosomal RNA, 503 nt
Filed under: uncultured bacterium
Lineage: Bacteria
Description: bacterial SSU rRNA
Rfam family: Bacterial small subunit ribosomal RNA
Source: RNAcentral
UCAGGAUGAACGCUAGCUACAGGCUUAACACGAUGCAAGUCGAGGGGCAGCAUUGGAGUAGCAAUACUCAGAUGGCGACCGGCGCACGGGUGAGUAACACGUAUCCAACCUGCCGCUUACUCGGGGAUAGCCUUUCGAAAGAAAGAUUAAUACCCGAUGGUAUAAAGAGUUCGCAUGUUCUCUUUAUUAAAGAAUUUCGGUAAGCGAUGGGAUGCGUUCCAUUAGAUAGUUGGCGGGGUACCGGCCCACCAAGUCUACGAUGGAUAGGGGUUCUGAGAGGAAGGUCCCCCACAUUGGAACUGAGACACGGUCCAAACUCCUACGGGAGGCAGCAGUGAGGAAUAUUGGUCAAUGGACGAGAGUCUGAACCAGCCAAAAGUAGCGUGAAGGAUGACUGCCCUAUGGGUUGUAAACUUCUUUUAUAAGGGAAUAAAGUGAGGGACGUGUCCCUUUUUGUAUGUACCUUAUGAAUAAGGAUCGGCUAACUCCGUGCCAGCCGCGGC